This is a long non-coding RNA of Arachis duranensis, 938 nucleotides long. RefSeq lists it as uncharacterized. NCBI's taxonomy places the organism in Eukaryota, Viridiplantae, Streptophyta, Magnoliopsida, Fabales, Fabaceae. The record is from RefSeq and is a predicted model, not a curated record. The transcript has 2 exons.
CUGAAGGUGAACCCUACCCAACUCAUUUUGAAGAGCACCCACCACACAACACAGCGGUCACCACACCUCCUCAACCCUAAUCUUCUCUUCCAGCUUUCUGCACCAAAUUCUACCGUCACUACCACAAUCGAUGCCGGAUUGGAGCUGCUGUCAACGGAUCGAAGCAGAUGUCACCGUCGCAGAUUGAAGCAGUUGUGCGUUGUCUUGAACUCUGAACUCUGAAGCUUCUGACGUCGCGAACGUCUACUCAGCCCUGUUCUCCUCGCCAUCAUUCCAGUGCCUCCAGAAGCUUCCUUCCUCCAACAACAAGUUCACCUACAACUGCGACAACCACACCUUCAACUUCCUCGUCGAUAAUGGCUUCAGUGUCUGAGAAGAAGGCUAAAGAUCAUGCAAGGAAGUUGAGUCCUCUUGAAAGUUGAGCAUUGGCUUGGGAUGAAGCAGAACGUGCUAAGUAUCUGUCCAUGUAUAUUAUUAUUAACAUGAUAUGAUCUGAACUUGUUUUGCGACGAUGAUUCUACUAGUUUGUUUAAUUCAACCCUUUAACUUGAUAUAAACUUUUCAAUUUUUUAAAUUUCUCUUAUAAAAAUAUGCCUUAGUCUAGGUGAGUUUUCAGAAGUAGUCAAUGAAUUGAUGCAGUUUGUUUGUGAAAAAUUGAAUGUAUAGGUUCAAGCGUGAAGAGGUGAGGAUUCAAUCAUGUUAUAUGUACGGUGCCAAACUGUCAUUCAACACCACUACCAUUCAAAAAAGCGGUGAAGAGAUUAUACAGCAUCUGGACAUAGAUUAUACAGCAUUUGGACAUGGGAAAUUCUAAAUAGUAGUAGUUGUAGAAAAGUUGGUACAUCCGAUUUCUUGUAAAUCUUGGGGCUCGUGAGAACUAGCUCUAUUGUAAGUGUCCUUGUAAAGUUUGAUAAUCGAAAGGACAAAAUUGUAUAAUA